GCCUGAUGCAGCAACGCCGUGUGAGUGAAGAAGGUUUUCGGAUCGGUAAAACUCUGUCCUAAGGGAAGAAACAAAUGACGGUACCUUAGGAGGAAGCCCCGGCUAACUACGUGCCAGCAGCCGCGGUAAUACGUAGGGGGCAAGCGUUAUCCGGAAUCACUGGGCGUAAAGGGUGCGUAGGCGGCUUAGCAAGCCAGGGGUGAAAGGCAUUGGCUCAACCAAAUGUAAGCCUUUGUAAACUAGUUAAGCUUGAGUGCAGGAGAGGUAAGUGGAAUUCCUAGUGUAGAGGUGAAAUUCGUAGAUAUUAGGAGGAACACCAGUGGCGAAGGCGACUUACUGGACUGUAACUGACGCUGAUGCACGAAAGCGUGGGUAGCGAACAGGAUUAGAUACCCCUGGUAG
Molecule: ribosomal RNA, 402 nt
Filed under: uncultured bacterium
Lineage: Bacteria
Description: bacterial SSU rRNA
Rfam family: Bacterial small subunit ribosomal RNA
Source: RNAcentral